Molecule: ribosomal RNA, 301 nt
Filed under: uncultured bacterium
Lineage: Bacteria
Description: partial 16S ribosomal RNA
Rfam family: Bacterial small subunit ribosomal RNA
Source: RNAcentral
CAGCCGCCGCGGUAAUACGUAGGUGGCAAGCGUUGUCCGGAAUUAUUGGGCGUAAAGGGCUCGCAGGCGGUUGUGUAAGACAGGUGUGAAAUCCCCGGGCUUAACCUGGGAACUGCGCUUGUGACUGCACAGCUAGAGUAUGGCAGAGGGGGGUGGAAUUCCACGUGUAGCAGUGAAAUGCGUAGAGAUGUGGAGGAACACCAGUGGCGAAGGCGACUCUCUGGUCUGUAACUGACGCUGAGGAGCGAAAGCGUGGGGAGCGAACAGGAUUAGAUACCCGCGUAGUCCCUGUCUCUUAUAA